GUCCACACCGUAAACGAUGGAUACUAGGUGUAGGGUGUGAUAAACAUUCUGUGCCGUCGCAAACGCAAUAAGUAUCCCACCUGGGGAGUACGGCCGCAAGGUUGAAACUCAAAGGAAUUGACGGGGGCCCGCACAAGCAGUGGAGUAUGUGGUUUAAUUCGACGCAACGCGAAGAACCUUACCAGGGCUUGACAUAUACAGGAAUAAGCUAGAGAUAGUUUAGGUCUUCGGAGUCUGUAUACAGGUGGUGCAUGGUUGUCGU
RNAcentral lists this ribosomal RNA (262 nucleotides) under uncultured bacterium. RNAcentral's name for it is "partial 16S ribosomal RNA". It matches the Rfam family "Bacterial small subunit ribosomal RNA", at positions 793 to 1055 of the family's 1533-position model. The record is from RNAcentral.